Molecule: ribosomal RNA, 346 nt
Filed under: uncultured Sphingobacteriales bacterium
Lineage: Bacteria; Pseudomonadati; Bacteroidota; Sphingobacteriia; Sphingobacteriales
Description: bacterial SSU rRNA
Rfam family: Bacterial small subunit ribosomal RNA
Source: RNAcentral
ACAGGUGCUGCAUGGCUGUCGUCAGCUCGUGUCGUGAGAUGUGGGUUAAGUCCCGCAACGAGCGCAACCCUACCUUAGUUGCCAUCAGGUAAUGCUGGGGACUCUAAAGGAACUGCCUACGCAAGUAGUGAGGAAGGCGGGGAUGACGUCAAAUCAGCACGGCCCUUACGUCCAGGGCUACACACGUGCUACAAUGGCCGAUACAGAGGGCAGCUACCUGGUGACAGGAUGCAAAUCUCCAAAGUCGGUCUCAGUUCGGAUCGGAGUCUGCAACCCGACUCCGUGAAGUUGGAUUCGCUAGUAAUCGCGCAUCAGCCAUGGCGCGGUGAAUACGUUCCCGGGCCUU